GACAGAGGGUGCAAACGUUGUUCGGAAUUACUGGGCGUAAAGCGCGUGUAGGCGGCUAUGCAAGUCGGAUGUGAAAGCCCUCGGCUCAACCGGGGAAGUGCACCCGAAACUGCAAAGCUAGAGUCUCGGAGAGGAUCGUGGAAUUCUCGGUGUAGAGGUGAAAUUCGUAGAUAUCGAGAGGAACACCCGUGGCUAAGGCGGCUCUCUAGUACGGUACUGACGCUGAGACGCGAAAGCGUGGGGAGCGAACAGG
This 253-nucleotide ribosomal RNA is filed under the name uncultured bacterium. RNAcentral describes it as "partial 16S ribosomal RNA". It matches the Rfam family "Bacterial small subunit ribosomal RNA", at positions 524 to 776 of the family's 1533-position model. The record is from RNAcentral.